Molecule: non-coding RNA, 438 nt
Organism: Cinara cedri
Lineage: Eukaryota; Metazoa; Arthropoda; Insecta; Hemiptera; Aphididae
Source: the annotation of a GenBank genome assembly
GAAAAUACCAUGUUUUUGUAAUUAAAAAAAAAAAAAAAAAAAAAAAAAAAAAACGAAUAAAUAAAUAAAAAAAAAUAUGUUUGUCGCCACUAAUUGACCCGCACGAUACCUACCUGCCUACCUACCCACAACAAAUAAAUGUACUCUGCAAUAAUAAUAAUUAUUAGCUCGUCACCCGCGUCCGUUAUUCUUGAGCGAAUGGCUGAAUAAUAUUAAGUUCUCGCGGUAUGUGAAAAAAAAAAAAAACGUAAAAAACCGAGAUAAUUAUUAUGAUUAUUCGUUACAGUGCAUUUUACAAAAAAAAAACUUUGUUUUUAUUUAACUUCCUCUUACCACCCUUCCCCUCACCCGUUGAUAAAAUUACAAUCUAAGAUCGUAAAUCUAAUUCCGUAUUUAUACCAUAUUAUUAUAAUAUUAUGCGUAUUAGACUUAAGUGGC